UAACGAAUCUUCCGCAAUGUACGCAAGUAUGACGGAGCGACGCCGCGUGUAGGACGAAGCCCUUCGGGGUGUAAACUACUGUCAGGGGUUAGAAAGUUCUGAUCGACCCCAGAGGAAGGCACGGCUAACUCUGUGCCAGCAGCCGCGGUAAGACAGAGGUGCCAAGCGUUAGGCGGAAUCACUGGGCUUAAAGCGUGUGUAGGCGGAUUUCUAAGUACCUUGUGAAAUCCCACGGCUCAACCGUGGAACUGCUUGGUAUACUGGUUAUCUUGAGCCAACUAGGGGCUACCGGAACAAAUGGUGGAGCGGUGAAAUGCGUAGAUAUCAUUUGGAACGCCAAUGGUGAAAACAGGUAGCUGGGGUUGUGCUGACGCUGAGACACGAAAGCCAGGGGAGCAAACGGGAUUAGAUACCCCCGUAGUCC
RNAcentral lists this ribosomal RNA (424 nucleotides) under uncultured bacterium. RNAcentral's name for it is "bacterial SSU rRNA". It matches the Rfam family "Bacterial small subunit ribosomal RNA", at positions 355 to 796 of the family's 1533-position model. The record is from RNAcentral.